Molecule: ribosomal RNA, 784 nt
Filed under: Phoma sp. AP3s5-J1a
Lineage: Eukaryota; Fungi; Ascomycota; Dothideomycetes; Pleosporales; Didymellaceae
Description: eukaryotic LSU rRNA
Rfam family: Eukaryotic large subunit ribosomal RNA
Source: RNAcentral
AUAUCAAUAAGCGGAGGAAAAGAAACCAACAGGGAUUGCCCUAGUAACGGCGAGUGAAGCGGCAACAGCUCAAAUUUGAAAUCUGGCGUCUUUGGCGUCCGAGUUGUAAUUUGCAGAGGGCGCUUUGGCAUUGGCAGCGGUCCAAGUUCCUUGGAACAGGACGUCACAGAGGGUGAGAAUCCCGUACGUGGUCGCUAGCCUCUACCGUGUAAAGCCCCUUCGACGAGUCGAGUUGUUUGGGAAUGCAGCUCUAAAUGGGAGGUAAAUUUCUUCUAAAGCUAAAUACUGGCCAGAGACCGAUAGCGCACAAGUAGAGUGAUCGAAAGAUGAAAAGCACUUUGGAAAGAGAGUUAAAAAGCACGUGAAAUUGUUGAAAGGGAAGCGCUUGCAGCCAGACUUGCCUGUAGUUGCUCAUCUAGGUUUUUACCUAGUGCACUCUUCUAUAGGCAGGCCAGCAUCAGUUUGGGCGGUUGGAUAAAGGUCUCUGUCAUGUACCUCUCUUCGGGGAGAACUUAUAGGGGAGACGACAUGCAACCAGCCUGGACUGAGGUCCGCGCAUCUGCUAGGAUGCUGGCGUAAUGGCUGUAAGCGGCCCGUCUUGAAACACGGACCAAGGAGUCUAACAUCUAUGCGAGUGUUUGGGUGUCAAGCCCGAACGCGUAAUGAAAGUGAACGGAGGUGGGAACCUUUCGGGGUGCACCAUCGACCGAUCCUGAUGUCUUCGGAUGGAUUUGAGUAAGAGCAUAGCUGUUGGGACCCGAAAGAUGGUGAACUAUGCUGAAUA